AUUGAACGCUGGCGGCAGGCCUAACACAUGCAAGUCGAACGAGUGGCGGACGGGUGAGUAAUGUCUGGGGAACUGCCCGAUAGAGGGGGAUAACUACUGGAAACGGUAGCUAAUACCGCAUACCAUCGGAUGUGCCCAUAUGGGAUUAGCUAGUAGGUGGGGUAAAGGCUCACCUAGGCGACGAUCACUAGCUGGUCUGAGAGGAUGAUCAGCCACACUGGAACUGAGACACGGCCCAGACUCCUACGGGAGGCAGCAGUGGGGAAUAUUGCACAAUGGGCGCAAGCCUGAUGCAGCCAUGCCGCGUGUAUGAAGAAGGCCUUCGGGUUGUAAAGUACUUUCAGCGGGGAGGCGUUACCCGCAGAAGAAGCACCGGCUAACUCCGUGCCAGCAGCCGCGGUAAUAC
RNAcentral lists this ribosomal RNA (406 nucleotides) under uncultured bacterium. RNAcentral's name for it is "partial 16S ribosomal RNA". It matches the Rfam family "Bacterial small subunit ribosomal RNA", at positions 30 to 526 of the family's 1533-position model. The record is from RNAcentral.